RNAcentral lists this long non-coding RNA (2528 nucleotides) under Mus musculus (house mouse). Its description in RNAcentral is "long non-coding RNA chr13:91703025-91705553". The record is from RNAcentral. Lineage: Eukaryota; Metazoa; Chordata; Mammalia; Rodentia; Muridae.
ACUUUUGUUACCCGGAGGGUAAGCAUUAUAACUAUAUUGAUUUUAUGUAGAUCUUAAUUAUUUAACAUUUAUUGUUUUUCUGGUAAGAAAUCCAACAUUGUCAUGCAUUCUACGGCUGUUGGCCCAUUCAUGUCCUCUUGAUGUAUAUGCUGCUUGCCAGAGGUUAGCUUUCUGCAUACUUCAGCCCAUAAUAAUGAAAUCAGCAGUACUCACAUAUUUUGGGCAUAGAAUGCACCCAUAAAAUGUGACAAUGGGCAGCAGGUGUGAGCAUGCAUCCGGUCACCCCUCCCUGCCCUCCCUAACGCACCGACGUUUGAAAGUUCGUGUCAGUCUUAAGUCCUGAAUGGUUCUUAACCACCUGACUUUCUUACUGUGAAGAUGCCCAGUGUAAAAAAAAAAAAAAAGGCUUUGAUAAUUUGAUGGACAAAUUAUCGCUUUUUAAAAAAAACAUUCCAGUUUGGGUUCAAUUACCAGUGAACAGGAAUUUUACAGCUAAAAGUCUGAGGUUAAGAUUUCUUGAUUUCUGAAAGACUAACAAAUCAAUUCCGCUCCCUUCAGGCAAGGAAAGUGCUCAGACACACCUGUCCCUUCAGAAACUAAAUAGAGAAAAAUUCUGUUCCCCUUCAGCCAAAGAAAGUGCUCAGACACACCUGUCCCUCCAGAAAUUAAAUAGAGAAAAUCUGUUCCAUUUCUCUUUUCAUGAUUCUGUCAGGCGUCUGAACUCCAUUGCAUUUGAAAGGACCAUUCAGGUAAACAUUCUUCAGCUUGGAAGUGAAUUCAUCUUGGCAUGUGAAGCCCCACAGCCGCCUACAUCGUUCCCCACAUUGAUCUGGGGCUGUGUCCUCAGCAGGGACUCUGCACAGUUCUCAGUACUCCAUACCCCGGUUAGCUUGUGGCCCGGUUUCUCCAUGCCUGCCUUCCAUCCCAGGAGAUGAGAUGCAAGGGUUGAGCAUCUUUUCCCUCUCGGCUUUGCAGCGUUUGCCUCUGCACAGUGUGUAGUACUGGUGGUAGUUUUCCUGAGGAAAGAAAUUUCAGUUUUCAUCCCUUGAUUAUUACUGUUCAUCAUAAGCAGUAUGAGAGGUCACAGCUAUGCAACAUCUGAAUGUCCUCUUGAUGCUGUUUCCUGUUGUGUUUUGUGGGCUGUAGCUCUCCUCUCCUUGAGACAUUAACUGAGGCAAGAAGCCCAUGAAUACUUGGUAUAUGGAGGGAAGAUUGGUGUGAUGAGACCAUUAUCACAUGUUUUACCAAAUGCCAACUAGUCUUUUGUAGUUUUUCCUUCUUAAAUUUCUCUGAUAUGAGAAGCAAAACCCCAUGCUAGCUUAAAACAAUGUUUCUGAUUUUAAACAUUUGUAACAAUCUCCCCUCAUCUGAGAAAUAUGCCUUGAGAAAUACAGGAAAAGCAAGAGUGUUAAAACCACCUCAAUUCUGCAUACUACAUGUGUGUAUAUCUGUGUGUAUAUGUUGGGAGAUGACAGCAUAAAUUUUGCUUCUAAACCCCACUUCUACUAAGAUCAUGUUAUUUUAUAUAGCACUGUUGAUAAAUAGUAAACAUUUUUUUUCUUUUGACAUUUUAUUUCAUUGGUGAGAUAUCUGAUACAAGUUAUUUGGAAUAGCAAGAGAGGAGAACACCACUAUUCUAUAUAUUGAACAAUAUAUAAGCAGGAGUAGUUUUCCCAGGCCCAGAUUUAGCUUCUCAGCAUUGGCCUUCAUACUGAGCUUGUCAGAAAUCAUGCAGUAAUUAUAGAUUCCUAUUGUACACAUUUGUUUAUAAGAGGUUGGAUUGAUAUCCCCUAAAGUGUUAACUUUACCCAUGAACGGUAAUUCAGUUUGGAUGACCUAAUGAUAAACACACAUCUGAGACUUUCAAUGACUUCUGUAGACUUUAUUAUGAAGAAAGAUAUCCAACUGACUGAGUCUCAGAGGAGUUUCCUCUGUGGAGUUUCCCGUGGUAACUUACAGAAUUUGUUUCUUGAGUAAAAGAAUCAAUUCUGUAUGGAGUUUAAAUUGAAAUGUGAAUAGUUUUUGCUGUAUACAUUUUUAAAAUGGAAUACAGCACUAAAAUGAAAUAUGUAAAUGUUACAGCAUUUAAUGUGGGACUGAGUGUUUUCAAUGUAUGCAUUUACUGGGUCUGAUUAGGAUAAACGUUUGCUUCACUUUGACUGUCCCAGUCACUGGAAUCUUACGAUCUGCUUCUCAAACACUUAGUGUUUCAUUUCUAAAGCAAGAUGGGCUGUUGCUUUGGCAAAGGUAAGUGUUACUAUUCCUUGAAAAACAAUAUAAAUACUUGUUCCCAGUUAUUACAUUUCACUUUUCUUUUGUGACAAUUGGUCCCAGUGUAUCACCUGAGGGUGAGGCUUGGGUCCCUUACAGGAGACUACAGUCUACAUAGUAUGCUGUAAGCUAAGUUCCUGUGUGUCUUUGUAACAUUGUUGGUUAAAUGUAAUUAGCCAUUUAUUUGAAAACAGCACUUCAAAUAACCUGUCCAUCUUGCAUGAUUUGAGUAAAGAUCUAAAUUUUUUGCAAAACUU